AUUUACAAAAGGAAAAAGAGGAGAAGGCACAGAAAUUGCACCUAUAAUCAUUGGUACCAGAGUCAAAAAUGCCUAAAUGCAUUCUAAGUAGAUAAAUAGGAUUUUCCUUCCCCCACCCACAUAUGCUUAUCUUUGAGUGACACCUCUUGAAGAUGUCUCUCUCCAUGCACUGCAGAAGGAGCCUAAACAACAAGCGUAUAUUACACUUAACUUCUGGACACUUCAAGUUAAAGAAGGUGACUCUCAUCUGUGAAUUCAGAAAGGACCAGAUAUCACCUACCAGCUGCAGUAGAUCUCCAGUUCUCAAACAACAUUUAUCUAAGGGGUCAGAGUAUGUCACACACUGUAUUUGAGAAAUUAUACUAAAUUUAAAAAAAGAAUUAUCAGCAUUUAUGAAGAAAGAAUCCACAUAUAGCUUCCUGUGAAGUAAGCAACACUCCUCAGAGAUGCAGAGGAGGCAUCAGUCCACAAAACAUCCAGAUUCAGCUUAUUGUAAAAAAAAAAAAAAAAAAAAACAACAACAACAAAAAA
Molecule: non-coding RNA, 531 nt
Organism: Meleagris gallopavo (turkey)
Lineage: Eukaryota; Metazoa; Chordata; Aves; Galliformes; Phasianidae
Source: RefSeq, a predicted model, not a curated record